GAGAAUAUUUAUAUGCAAAUAAGAGGUGU
This 29-nucleotide non-coding RNA is filed under the name Homo sapiens (human). Lineage: Eukaryota; Metazoa; Chordata; Mammalia; Primates; Hominidae. The record is from RNAcentral.